GACGAACGCUGGCGGCGCGCCUAACACAUGCAAGUCGAACGAGAGAGAAGGAGCUUGCUUCUUCGAUCGAGUGGCGAACGGGUGAGUAACGCGUGAGGAACCUGCCUCAAAGAGGGGGACAACAGUUGGAAACGACUGCUAAUACCGCAUAAGCCCACGGAUCGGCAUCGAUCUGAGGGAAAAGGAGUGAUCCGCUUUGAGAUGGCCUCGCGUACGAUUAGCUAGUUGGUGAGGUAAUGGCCCACCAAGGCGACGAUCGGUAGCCGGACUGAGAGGUUGAACGGCCACAUUGGGACUGAGACACGGCCCAGACUCCUACGGGAGGCAGCAGUGGGGAAUAUUGCACAAUGGGGGAAACCCUGAUGCAGCGACGCCGCGUGGAGGAAGAAGGUCUUCGGAUUGUAAACUCCUGUUGUUGAGGAAGAUAAUGACGGUACUC
Molecule: ribosomal RNA, 439 nt
Filed under: uncultured bacterium
Lineage: Bacteria
Description: bacterial SSU rRNA
Rfam family: Bacterial small subunit ribosomal RNA
Source: RNAcentral